RNAcentral lists this ribosomal RNA (621 nucleotides) under uncultured bacterium. RNAcentral's name for it is "bacterial SSU rRNA". It matches the Rfam family "Bacterial small subunit ribosomal RNA", at positions 837 to 1456 of the family's 1533-position model. The record is from RNAcentral.
CCUUCUGUGCCGGAGUUAACGCAAUAAGUACCCCGCCUGGGGAGUACGACCGCAAGGUUGAAACUCAAAGGAAUUGACGGGGGCCCGCACAAGCGGUGGAGUAUGUGGUUUAAUUCGACGCAACGCGAAGAACCUUACCAGGUCUUGACAUUGAUGGACAGAACCAGAGAUGGUUCCUCUUCUUCGGAAGCCAGAAAACAGGUGGUGCACGGUUGUCGUCAGCUCGUGUCGUGAGAUGUUGGGUUAAGUCCCGCAACGAGCGCAACCCCUAUCUUAUGUUGCCAGCACGUAAUGGUGGGAACUCAUGAGAGACUGCCGCAGACAAUGCGGAGGAAGGCGGGGAUGACGUCAAAUCAUCAUGCCCCUUAUGACCUGGGCUACACACGUACUACAAUGGGAGUUAAUAGACGGAAGCGAGAUCGCGAGAUGGAGCAAACCCGAGAAACACUCUCUCAGUUCGGAUCGUAGGCUGCAACUCGCCUACGUGAAGUCGGAAUCGCUAGUAAUCGCAGGUCAGCAUACUGCGGUGAAUACGUUCCCGGGCCUUGUACACACCGCCCGUCACACCACGAAAGUCGGAAGUGCCCAAAGCCGGUGGGGUAACCUUCGGGAGCCANCCGU